GCGAGAAUAGCUCAGUUGGUAGAGCGCAACCUUGCCAAGGUUGAGGUCGCCGGUUCGAACCCCGGUUUCUCCCC
Molecule: transfer RNA, 74 nt
Filed under: Deltaproteobacteria bacterium
Lineage: Bacteria; Pseudomonadati; Myxococcota; Myxococcia
Description: tRNA-Gly
Rfam family: tRNA
About the family: Transfer RNA (tRNA) molecules are approximately 80 nucleotides in length. Their secondary structure includes four short double-helical elements and three loops (D, anti-codon, and T loops).
Source: RNAcentral